UUAAUUAGAAAAGUUUCAUUCCACUACCAUGAUAGGUCAAAUACACGGCACAAUAAAAAAAUAACAGAAAUUAAAAUUCCAUUCCACAGGUCUUUGUUUCUUCACAUGAGAAUCAGAACAUCAUCAAAGAUUUUUCUAGUAAAAGUAAACACGUUUUGGUUUGGUCAUAGGUAUUUGUACCACACACAAAAAUCACUAAUUGCACCCUUCCACUAUACUUCACAAACCCCUUCAUCACCAAACACUAUAUUUAAGACUCUCAUUCCCAAAAGCCAUAACUCAUCAAUUCCAAACACACCCUUUUCUCUCUUAUUGAUAAAGAUAUAA
Vicia faba (fava bean) is the source of this 327-nucleotide non-coding RNA. The record is from the annotation of a GenBank genome assembly. NCBI's taxonomy places the organism in Eukaryota, Viridiplantae, Streptophyta, Magnoliopsida, Fabales, Fabaceae.